GAUCAGACGGGUGGACCCGCCG
Molecule: ribosomal RNA, 22 nt
Filed under: Allium sativum (garlic)
Lineage: Eukaryota; Viridiplantae; Streptophyta; Magnoliopsida; Asparagales; Amaryllidaceae
Description: partial 28S ribosomal RNA
Source: RNAcentral